GCUAGGGGAGGAAUGGAUUAGGGCAUGGGUGGGGAUAAGAGUUCUAUUCUGAUCACAUUAAAUUUGAGAUGCUGAUUAGAUGUAGUAGCAGUUUCUUAGGGUUGCUGUAAUAAAUGACCACAAAUUGAGUGGUUUAAAACAACAGAAAUGUAUCCUCUCACAGUUCUGGAGGUCUGAAGUCUGAAACCAAGGCGUCAGUAAGGUUGGUUCCUUCUGGCUGCUCUGAGGAAGAAUCUGUUCCAUGUCUCUCUCCUAGAUCUUCGCAUUGCCAGCAAUCCAUGGCCUAUGGAUACAUCAUUCCAAUAUCUGCCUCUGUAUUCACAAAGCAUUCUCCCUGUGUGUCUCUUGUCUUUAUGUCUUCUCCUCUUCUUAUAAGGAUGCCAGUCAUACUGACUGUAGUGCCACCCUAACCCAUUAUGACCUAAUCUUAACUUGAUUAUAUCUGCAAAGACCUUAUUUCCAAAAAAGGUCAUAUUCAUAGGUACAAGAGGUUAGGACUUCAACAUAUAUUUUGGGGAGACAAUUCAACCUAUAAAGCCUCGUGAAAGGGGAUGUUAAGUGGGCCGAUAGGUAUAUAAGGAUGACGUUCAGAGGAGAGGUCUGCUUUGGAGAUAUUAAUUUGGCAGUCAUAGAAAACCAGCCUAGGGACUAGAUGUAGAUAGAGAAUAGAAGGGGUACUAGGUUGAGCUCUGGGGCUGUCCAAUAUUUAGUGGUUUGUGGAAGAGAAGGAGCCGGCAUAGAAGACUGAGAAGAAGUGGUCAGUGAGGUAGAAAACCAGGAGAAUGUGGUGUCCAAGAAACUAAGAGGAGAGAAGUUUCAAGAUGGAAGUAGCGGUCAACCUUGCUGAGACGUGGCUCUCAGACCCAGCAGCAUGCAGACCAGUGGUGAUGCCAACACGAUUAAUUUCAGUGGAGCAGUGGGGAUGGAAGCUCACCCGGAGGGGCUGAAGAGAGGAUGUUGAGGGAGAAAGUCAGACAGCAGCUAUACACAACUCUUUCAAAUUCAAAAAGUUUUUCCAUGACACAUAGAAAAACUGGGUGACAACAGAGGGAAAUGUGGGUAAUGGGAGGGUUGUUUAUGUUGUAAAGCUGGAAUAUAUUAGAGAAUGUUUGUAUGAUAUUGAACAUGUUCUUCUAGUGAUGGAAGCAGAGACACUCAAUCCACUAUAUAAAGAGGGAAGGCAAAUCAUGGAGGACACAUACAGGUAGGGAAGUAGAGCUGGUGCCAGGAAAAUGAGGAAGCACUUCAAAGUGCUUUUCUUUUCUCCAUGAGGGAUGAGGCAAGGUCAUCAGCUGAAAGUGAGGGAUGAAGAGAGUGAAAGAUGUUUGAAGAGACAGAAGUUAUGAGGUAGAAGCUUUGAUCAUGUUGAAUAAAUAUGGGAAGACUACAGAACACUUCAGGUGAGCUUUGGCUCAGCUCCAAGCGUCUUUUUCACUCUAGGAUAGGACAUGCCAUUCUGUGGCACAGGAUAAAGAGGAUACUGUGAUGGCUCCUAAAGCUUCUGCUCUGAUCACUUCUAUUGCCAUUUGAUUGGCCAGCAAGUCACAUGACCAAAUCUGAUUGCAACAAGUUAUCACCUGUGGUACACGGAUGCAAAAGCUUUCUGAGAGGGGGUCCUAGCUUAUUGGAGUUAAUGAGCUGCCUACAUUGUGGGCAUGUGGUCUAAUUGAUACUGGCCCUGGGCAGGUUUGCACUUUUAAUCAUUAAUGCCCUGCAGCCUGCUGGAAGCAUGGAAAGAAACAGGCUGACUAGAACAUGCCAGAAGACAGAGGCAAAGCCACAGGGAAGCCUCCCACUGCCCAGGAGGUGCCUGCACAAGUGGAGCUCAGGGCCCUGUUGCUGGGCAGAAACCUUGGUGGUCCUGCCUCAAGGGAGGCAGGGAGACCUCUCCCUUGGGUAACCUCCAAUGUUAAACAUAUCAGCAGGGGCCAGGCAUAUCUCAGGCCUGAGUAGAGGCUUGCACAUCACUCACUCCAUCAUUCAUUCACUCAAAAAUAUAUAUUAAGUAUCAACUCCGUGCCAGCCCUGGUACAGUAAUAAACAAGACAGACAAGCUGUCUGCCCCUUCAGAGUUUCAUUUUAGUCUGCAAAAAAGAUAAUAAACAAGUUAAGGAAUAAAUCAGCAGACAAUAAACAAGUUAAGGAAUAGAUCAGCAUGAUAAGGUCAGCUAGUAAUAAGUGCUGUGGAGACAAUUAAAGAGUGAUGUGAUAAGAGUACUUAGGUGAGGGGUAAGCUCACACUAAGUUCUAGUCAGAGAGGGAUGCUCGGCAAAGCUGACAUUUAUGCUGAGACUCGAGGCAUGGGAAGGAGCCAGCUUUGCAAAGUGCUGGAGGAAAAGCCUUCCAAGCAUUAGGAAUGACAGGUGCAAAGGCCCCAAGGCAAGGAAAGGCUGCAGUUAUUUGAGGAAGAGAAAGGAGAUAGGUGUGGCUGAAGCUUGAUGAGCAGGAUGGAGAAUGACUGGAGAUGAGGUUGGAGAGUUGAAUAAAGCUUAGGUUAUACGAAGUUUUGUAAAGCCAAGUAUAUCCGUCAAAAGACACUCAGGAAAAAUCAGAAAUCACUCUAGAUUUUUCCAGUAGGAGGAAUUUAGUUUGAGGAAUUGGUAACAAACAUGUGGGAAGGGCUAGAGGAGCAAAAAGAGGGAGAUGAGGUUAUCCAAAGAUUAGUGAUUGCAGGAAAUCACACUAUCAGCCCUGAGGUUAGAAGAGCAAGAUCAGAAAUGAGGACAAUUGGGCACCUGGGUGGCUCAGUCAGUUAAGUGUCUGACUUCCACUCAGGUCAUGAUCUCACGAUCCCUAAGUUCAAGCCCCGCAUCAGGUUCUGUACUGACAGUUCAGAGCCUGGAGUCUGCUUCGGAUUCUGUGUCUCCUGCUCUCUCUGCCUCUCCCUAGCUCUCUCUGUCUGUCUGUCUGUUUCUCUCUCAAAUAUAAAACUGCUCUACCACUGAGGCGGUUAUUAGGAACCCUGUGAGCUAGAACCUGAGCACAAGCUUUGUUAUUAGGUUCAGGAGGAUAAUGUAUGUAAAAUACUCAGUAUAGUGCUCAGCACUUAGUAAGGUCUCCAUAGACGGGAGCUAUGUUAUAAAGCCACACUCCAAGGACAACCAACAUUACAUGGGAGAUGCCCAGCCUUUUAAAUGAGAUAUAGGAAAUCUUAUCACAUGGAAAAGUUGGGAACCAAAGGUUUUAGGAGAGCUCAGUUUAGACAAAUUGAUAGAAUCACAGAAUCUCCAUUUCCAGUAUUCUCCCACAGGACUCACGCAAAAGACCUCUGCUAUGCUGUUUCUGCAGGCUCUGCUCGGACCGAAGUGGGAAAUCCAAAGCAUUCAACAGAGCAUGAUGGAGGUGGAAGGCGUGUGGUGGAGCAGUGAGGUGCCAGAGGAGAUAAUGAGCACUUGUUCCAGUUAUCUAUUGCUGUGUAGCAAAAAGCUUAGAGCUCAAAACAAUCAUUUUUUUUAUGUUUAUCAUUCUCUGGAUCAAGAAUUUGGAUGGAGCACAGUGUGGGGAUGGUUGUUUCUGUUUCUCAAUGUCUGAGGGCUCAGCUGAUAAGAUUAAAAGGAUAUGGGUCUCUCAACAGUUCGGGGCUAGAAUCCCCAAAGGCUCAUUUACUCACAUAUCUGGUGCUUGGGCUGGAUUGACUUGAAGAUCAGUACAGUUUUGUUUUUUUUUUAAGAUUUUUAUUAUUUAUUUAUUUAUUUAUUUGGGGGAGAGAAAGAGAAAGAGAGAGAGAGAGAAAGAGGAAGAGAGAGGCAGAAAGAGGGAGACAGAGGAUCCAAGAGUCUGCUGUGGGGCUUGAAUUCAUGAACCAUGAGAUUAUGACCUGAGCUCAAGUCAGAUGCUUAACAGACUGAGCCACCCAGGCACCCUGACCUGAAGAUUAGGACUGGAGACCAGAGUGCCUACACAUGACCUCUCUAAGUGCUCUGGCUUCCUCACAACAAGGUGAUUGCACGGUAGUUGGACUUCCUAUGUGGUGACUCAGGGCUCUAAACAUGAGUUUUUCAGCUAACAAGGUGGUAACUACAUCUCCUCUCAUCACAAAGCCAAGGAAGUUUCUCAGCACUACUUCCACUGUAAUCUAGAAUGUAUAAGGGAGCCCUCAGGACUCAAAGGGAGGGGAAGUAUACUCUGCCUCUUGACGGGGGAACAGCAAAGUCUAAAAAAGCAUGUGAGGUGGGAGAUAAUAUUGGACCAAUUCUGGAAAAUAUAAUCUGCCACAGGCCUGCAGGCUAGAAUUCACACUUUCCAUGGGCCUGGGCCCUUGCCAGCCAUCUUAGGAAGAGAACUUCUGAGCUCCCUGAGAAAGAUGGGGCCAAAGGCACAUGCCCCUCUCUAUGCCCUACCUUCUCCUCCAGAGGAAGUCUCCCCAAAACCCAAAAAGGGAGGAGAUCUGUCGCCCAGAAUAAGUCUUCAUAGAGUCUGCUGUUGAAAACUCAGGGGACAUAUGUCACCUUAGAGAGCAAGAGAGCUAGAAACUGUGCUAGGGAGUCUCAUAACAAUUGACCCUGGACAGUGAUGAUGAUAGAGAUGAUAUUUACUGAGUGCCUAUUUGGGACCACGCACUUGAGUAUAUCUUUUCCAUUUAAGCUUCCAAAGUAAAUGUAGAGCCUUAAAUGCACAUGUCAGAAAGCAAGACGAUUGAAAAUUAAUGAGCUAAAUUAAUAAGUUAGAAAAAAAAUACAGCAAAAUAAACUCAAAUAAUGUAGAAGGAAAUAGCAAGAUAAAAGAUAGAAAUUGAAGAAACAGAAACCAAAUAUGCAAUAGAGAAGAUCAGCCAAGCCAAAAGCCAAUUCUGUGAAAACCGAUGAAUUUCUCAUGAUAGUGACCAAGAAAAACUUGAAAGAAAAAAAAAAUAAACAAUUUCAGAAUGAAAAAGAGGGAUUUAAUUUUUUUUUUUUUUUUAAAGAUGGGGGCACCUGAGUGGCUCAAUCAGUUCAGUGUCCAAUUUCAGUUCAGGUCAUGAUCUCACAGCUUGUGAGUUUGAGCCCCGCGUUGGGCUCUGUGCUGACAACUCAGAGCCUGGAGCCUACUUCAGAUUCUGUCUCUAUCUCUCACUGCCCCUCCCCUGCGCACGCUCUGUGUGUGUGUCUUUCUCUCUCUCUCUUUCUCUCAAAAAUAAAUAAACAUUAAAAAUUUUUUUUAAUUUAAAAAAAGAAGUAAAAAGAGGGAUAUUGUUAUGGAUGCUUCAGGUAUCAGAAAGAAAUGAAGAGAAUAUUAUGAAUAAUUUUGUACCAAUAAAAUUGAAGAUAUAUGUGAAAUAGACAAAUUGCCUGACACAUAUAACUUACUAAUACUGAUUCAACCUAAAAUAGGAAACCCGGAUCAUCCUACAACCAUUAACAAAAUUUAAUCAGAGGUCAAAAAUAUUCCCAUGAAGAAAGCCCAGUCUUCACUGAUGAGUAGUAAAUCUUUCAACACGCCAUUAGAGAAUGAAGAUUCGCUUCUUCAGUGGAGGAAACUAGCUCCUGGAGUUCAAGCAACUUGCCUAAGGGCCCAGAGCUAGCAAUAGUCAAACUCAUGAUUUGAACCCUGGUUGACCUGCCUUCAAAGCCAGGGAGCUUAGCCAUUACACUCCCCAGCCUCCUCUUCAAAUGCUAUAAUUAGCAGCGUAUCUGUGAAGGUGAAGGACAAAGCCCUGAUGCAAAAACAUGCAAGAACAAAUUCCACGUUUGCAGAUAUGGAAGGUAGAGCUCCCUACCUAGAAAAGUCCCAGAAAUGAGGAAUCUGGUUAUUUCCAUACAGAGAAGGAACCUGGAAAUUAUCCCUAGGACGCCACCCUGCCAUUUUUCAAGACCUAUUUAAGUGCCACCACUGCUUCCCUGCAAGGCCAUAAAUCCUGUCCUGAGCCCCAGAGCUGCCCUAUAGCACGGUAUCUGGGCCUCUUGUAUACAUUCUCUGUUUUGUAUCAUUCUCACUAAUGUUUUCCAACCUUGAAAAUGCAUGGCUUCCUAAAAAUACAGACCCCAGUUUCAAAAACCUAUAUUAAAAAGUUAAAUGCUGAGGGGCGCCUGGGUGGCUCAGUCGGUUAAGCAUCCGACUUCAACUCAGGUCACGAUCUCGCAGUCCAUGAGUUCGAGCCCCACGUCGGGCUCUGGGCUGAUGGCUUGGAGCCUGGAGCCUGCUUCGGAUUCUGUGUCUCCCUCUCUCUCUGCCCCUCCCCCGUUCAUGCUCUGUCUCUGUCUCAAAAAUACAUAAAGGUUAAAAAAAAAAUU
This is a long non-coding RNA of Acinonyx jubatus (cheetah), 6209 nucleotides long. RefSeq lists it as uncharacterized. NCBI's taxonomy places the organism in Eukaryota, Metazoa, Chordata, Mammalia, Carnivora, Felidae. The transcript is spliced from 3 exons. The record is from RefSeq and is a predicted model, not a curated record.